CCUAGACAGAAUAACCUUUGGGUAGAAGAGGUGAUAUUUCUCUACUGCUUUCAGAAGGUAUUAAUUGCAAGACGUGUAAGCUGAGCUCAGUAGACACAGCCAGACAUACAGGAGGGAUACAAUAGCCCACCUGAGAAGUGAGGCAUGAACUUCUCCAGGGCCUGCCAACUUCCUGACUCCUGUUCUUGAGAGAUGCAAGACUGUUCUGUUGGAUCUUCAGAGCUGCUGUCAUCUGUGCCAGGUAGGGUGCUGCGAGAUUCUCACUGCACAUACACACAGUCAGCUGAAGAAAUAACUGUGUCUGAGAAAGAGUGGAGGGAUUUCAUGGCUCUCCUGUGACAGGCUUUGUUUAUAGUUCUUAAUUCUUAGCACUUUAGGCAAAUGAUGACUGCCAUCACACACUGCAAGAGGUAAAAUCAGGUGACUUUGGAGCAUUCCCAACCUUGACAUUAAAACUGAAAAGAUCUGAAAAUUGUCUUCAAAUCCAUGGGGCAAUGACAAUAGCAAUGUGCUGCAAUACAUUACUGACCCUAUGCCUUUUUUUUUUUUUUUUCUUUUCAGUUCUGGCAUAUCCUGGCCAUGUUUCAAAGACCAAUAGUGAUGAAAGGAAAAAUAUGGGUUUGCCAUUUUAAAAAUAUCCUCUGAUAUAUUCAGGCAUUUCUUCCAUCUAACUGGACUUUACGAAAUCACAAAAGUUUCUGUUAAUUUCAAGGAACUUUUGCAGAGAAAGAGCUGAAGGGAGAGAUGUAAUUUAAAUCAUGUUUUUGUUGUGGAGAUUCCCGUGCAUCAAAUUACUGUUUUUCUUAAGAAAAAUUUAUUCAGCUACUGUAGUACCCCAGUCUGAGAAGGCCUGUCCUGUGAAAGCAGUAUAAUCUGUAUUUCCAUCAGUUAAUAUGAUGGACAGAGAGCUGUGAUGGACAGAGAAUAGAGGCUUCUCUGCCACAAGCACUGACUUUACAAGCAGUGUGAGAAGCACAGACCUCUGCAGAUUUGUAGAGGAAUUGAGGUGUAAUUUUAGUGUGCUUGUGUUUAAAUAAAGGAGUCAUGCAUCUGCUGUUGGGUUUUAGCCCCACCUGACCUUAGUGUUGGCACAGAGUCAGAAAAAAUCCUCCCAGCUGGUGCUGUGUUGUUUCUGUGUAGUCAGAAGGGAUUGCCUUCCAGACUAGGCAAGGUAUUAACACAAAAAUUCUCUUCCUAUAGAGUUUGGAUCUGAAAUAUAUUUGAAUUAAUGGUGUAGGACAGAAAAAGAGCUGAAAUUAAUAGAAGACCCCUCAAUGAAUUUUCUGUGGCACAUGUAAAAGAACAAGACCCACAUUCAGAAAAAACUGAGUGUUUGGAAAGGUGAUGGAGUGAAGUGAAGUUCCACUGAUGCUUUGCAGUGUGAAGGAAUUGCACAACAGAAAGGUAGAGUUUUAAAAGUGGCAGUGCUGUGAAGAAAAACUUAAAGAGAAUGUGAUUUGCAUUGAGAAAAUAGAUUAUUGUACAGAUAUUGGUUCCAUUGGAUAGUGAUUCCCUGAAUAACAUCUGCUGCAUUAUCUCAAUAAAUCUGGUUAUCUCCCACAGAAACGAGCUGAGCAAAAGGUCUGUAGUAAGUUUUGAAAAGAAUAUUUGUUAUUAUGUGUCAUUUACACAUAAGAAUCAAGCUACAUGGUCUCUAAUGACAGUGAACAAGAACAACAAGUUUCUUGUACAUUCUGUUACACGCAUUUCCAGUCUCUAGCCUGCACUGAAAAUGCAGCAAUUUUACAAGCAUUUCUCAUUUGCCCAGGCUAUGGAGUUAAUGAGAUAGAAAAAGCAUGAAGAAUUUGUAUGGAAUUUGUGUAUUUUACUUAAUUUCCAACUCAAACAUAAUAACAUGAAAGACAAGUGAUAUAUGAAUAAAGUUGUGUGUCCUUUCUUUGCUUUUCACAGCUCUUGCCUUGCAGCAGUCCGGGUUGAGUCGCUCUGGCACACAACAGGGCUGUAAAGCUGGCAAAGAACACUUCUGCAUCACAGCCUGCCAGUGAGUCUGCUGUUUGUAAUAGUACUGGGAGUAUUUUCCAUUUGCAAAUCAGCAAUUGGGAGAAUGAAGUCAUUUAAAGUUAUGUUGUUUCUGGGUGUGCUUAUUGCACAGUGAUUAUUGCAUCAUCACCUGCAACAUGUUGCAGUGAUGGAAAAUGAAAAUCGUUAUCCUAACAAGUUUUCUACUGGAUUUUUCAUUCAAGCUAGCUAAAGGACAUGUGGAUUGAUUCUGCUAGCUUCUCCAUGAAAAUCUAUUUCUACAUCCAAAAUUCUUCUCAUCCCACUCAAACAUGGUCCACUUGAAAGAUUCCUCUCCUGAAACACUUCACUAUAAUGUCUCUGGCCAGCAUUAAACACAGCCUUAUUUGGUCACAGAAAACAUGGAGACAAGCUCUCCCUCUUCUCAACAAAUAUUAAACUUAAGUAAUAUUUCUCAAGCUCUGUAAGAAGCUUGAGAAAAUUUUCACUAAAA
Molecule: long non-coding RNA, 2473 nt
Organism: Catharus ustulatus (Swainson's thrush)
Lineage: Eukaryota; Metazoa; Chordata; Aves; Passeriformes; Turdidae
Exons: 2
Source: RefSeq, a predicted model, not a curated record